Paramuricea clavata is the source of this 81-nucleotide non-coding RNA. The record is from the annotation of a GenBank genome assembly. Lineage: Eukaryota; Metazoa; Cnidaria; Anthozoa; Malacalcyonacea; Plexauridae.
AAAACAGUGUAAAAGGACCUUCGGAGGUGUUUUUUUUUUGUAAAAUAACACCUCCAAAGAUCUUUUUACACUGUUUUGGUG